AGAGUUUGAUCAUGGCUCAGAUUGAACGCUGGCGGCAGGCCUAACACAUGCAAGUCGAGCGGAUGAAGGGAGCUUGCUCCUGGAUUCAGCGGCGGACGAGUGAGUAAUGCCUAGGAAUCUGCCUGGUAGUGGGGGAUAACGUCCGGAAACGGGCGCUAAUACCGCAUACGUCCUGAGGGAGAAAGUGGGGGAUCUUCGGACCUCACGCUAUCAGAUGAGCCUAGGUCGGAUUAGCUAGUUGGUGGGGUAAAGGCCUACCAAGGCGACGAUCCGUAACUGGUCUGAGAGGAUGAUCAGUCACACUGGAACUGAGACACGGUCCAGACUCCUACGGGAGGCAGCAGUGGGGAAUAUUGGACAAUGGGCGAAAGCCUGAUCCAGCCAUGCCGCGUGUGUGAAGAAGGUCUUCGGAUUGUAAAGCACUUUAAGUUGGGAGGAAGGGCAGUAAGUUAAUACCUUGCUGUUUUGACGUUACCAACAGAAUAAGUACCGGCUAACUUCGUGCCAGCAGCCGCGGUAAUACGAAGGGUGCAAGCGUUAAUCGGAAUUACUGGGCGUAAAGCGCGCGUAGGUGGUUCAGCAAGUUGGAUGUGAAAUCCCCGGGCUCAACCUGGGAACUGCAUCCAAAACUACUGAGCUAGAGUACGGUAGAGGGUGGUGGAAUUUCCUGUGUAGCGGUGAAAUGCGUAGAUAUAGGAAGGAACACCAGUGGCGAAGGCGACCACCUGGACUGAUACUGACACUGAGGUGCGAAAGCGUGGGGAGCAAACAGGAUUAGAUACCCUGGUAGUCCACGCCGUAAACGAUGUCGACUAGCCGUUGGGAUCCUUGAGAUCUUAGUGGCGCAGCUAACGCGAUAAGUCGACCGCCUGGGGAGUACGGCCGCAAGGUUAAAACUCAAAUGAAUUGACGG
This 913-nucleotide ribosomal RNA is filed under the name uncultured bacterium. RNAcentral's name for it is "bacterial SSU rRNA". It matches the Rfam family "Bacterial small subunit ribosomal RNA", at positions 8 to 916 of the family's 1533-position model. The record is from RNAcentral.